Molecule: long non-coding RNA, 207 nt
Filed under: Homo sapiens (human)
Lineage: Eukaryota; Metazoa; Chordata; Mammalia; Primates; Hominidae
Description: HSALNT0184906
Source: RNAcentral
GUGUGCUGCUGGAGGUGGGAGAGCUGGCGGAAGGCCUUCUGGCAGUAGGAACAGUUGUAGGGCUUGGCCCCCGAGUGGAUACGGAGGUGCUGGGCCAGGUAGGAGCUGUUGGCGAAGGUCUUGGAGCAAUGUGGGCACUUGUGGGGCUUGGUCUCGGUGUGUGACUUGGAGUGGAUCUGCAUCUCCGACUUGGAGUAGAAUGUCAGU